UACAGAGGGGGCAAGCGUUGUUCGGAAUUACUGGGCGUAAAGGGCUCGUAGGUGGCCAACUAAGUCAGACGUGAAAUCCCUCGGCUUAACCGGGGAACUGCGUCUGAUACUGGAUGGCUUGAGUUCGGGAGAGGGAUGCGGAAUUCCAGGUGUAGCGGUGAAAUGCGUAGAUAUCUGGAGGAACACCGGUGGCGAAGGCGGCAUCCUGGACCAACACUGACGCUGAGGAGCGAAAGCCAGGGGAGCAAACGGG
RNAcentral lists this ribosomal RNA (253 nucleotides) under uncultured bacterium. Its description in RNAcentral is "partial 16S ribosomal RNA". It matches the Rfam family "Bacterial small subunit ribosomal RNA", at positions 524 to 776 of the family's 1533-position model. The record is from RNAcentral.